AGAUUUUUUUUAAAAAAAUUAUUAUUAUUGUUUAUUUUGAGGUAGAAAGAGCUGUUAUCAGUAAUGAUUAGAGAUUCCAUGACAAUAUCAGAAUUCGAACUGGAUUGGAUUGGAUUGGAUUAUGAAUAUCCUUUAACCAUAUAAAAAAACUUUGUCCACCUAAGAGCAAAUUUAGUUAGGUUAGUUGAGACCUUAAAACUGUCAUUGAAGAGUGAGGACCUAUAAACAAAGCUUUCACUUCCAUUUCUCUAGGAUAAAAACAUCCCUUAACUUCACCUGAAGAUUCUGGGAUAAGAGCCCCAACACCUAAUUACAAUAUUCUUCUGAAAAUCAAAAGCUGCAUCUACAAUUAUUUUGUAUUGACCUGCCAAGGGAGGUUUCGAAACGCGGCAAGAGGGAGUAUUUUGUGCCAUGAGAUCAAUAGAAGGUGAUUUAUGUGGAGCCUCACAGAACUGUGCAAGAUAAUGGCUUGGAUGUCUAGAAGAAGAAAAGUAAGCGAAUGAGAAAGAUUGUGACAAUUUCCAAUCAGCCUUAUAGGCAAGGUGCAUAGAGAGCGUUGCUGCUGAUUCAAGAACUUGACGUUGCUGAAGAGCUGCAGCAACUGUUAGUGGACACUGGAUGGCCUGCCAAGCUAUGGUUUUUACUUUUGGUGGUAAUGUAAAAAGUUCAGAAAUUUUCCAACAGUGGAUAUGAUUUAUGGAGCUCUAAGAAGUGAGAAUUAUUCAGAGCUGUAGCUGUAUAAUAAUCAGAUUUCACUGUGUAAAGUCAAGUCUUGUAGAGGUAUGAUGUCUGUCUUCCUGUAGCGGAAAACUGAGAGGGAUGGAAAGGAUUCUGUCUAUAUCAAUAGAUUAAAAAUGAUUUUGCAAUAA
This is a long non-coding RNA of Cannabis sativa, 869 nucleotides long. RefSeq lists it as uncharacterized. The transcript is spliced from 2 exons. Lineage: Eukaryota; Viridiplantae; Streptophyta; Magnoliopsida; Rosales; Cannabaceae. The record is from RefSeq and is a predicted model, not a curated record.